This is a long non-coding RNA of Oreochromis niloticus (Nile tilapia), 1210 nucleotides long. RefSeq lists it as uncharacterized. NCBI's taxonomy places the organism in Eukaryota, Metazoa, Chordata, Actinopteri, Cichliformes, Cichlidae. The transcript is spliced from 5 exons. The record is from RefSeq and is a predicted model, not a curated record.
CUCAUAUCUAGUAUAACGGGACCAACGUGGUGCUCUUCAUUUAUGGAGGCUGUUGAGUCUGAAUGUUGGAUGUUGUGUAUCUCGUGUUCUCUGGGCUUUGUUGUCCUCAGUCUUUUUGCAGGAUCAGAAAACAAAACCAGGAUGACCGUAAAUGUUUCUUCUCCAAUUGGAUGAUGAUAAGACUGUGACACGGGAUGCCACCUUUAGUCUUGUGAUGAAGCAAAGCUCAGGAAGAAGUGUGAUUAAAUGGUACCCACAUGUGUGCUGCUGAGAAGGAUGUACAGGGGCACCUGCAGCCAAAUCCAAGCCUCCUCAGAGCAGAGCGGCCGUUUGUGCUCACAGAUGGUGACGGUGUGGAGAGACGGUGGUGUUUCCUCAGAAGAACUAGCAGAGUCACAAAGGGCACGAGUCCUUCUCACCACCUUGACUUGCUGACUGAUGCUCGUCUGCACUGCACAGAGGAAAUCAACUGACUGAGGAGUGUUUCUGAGUGAGGGAGAGAGGAGUCAUCAUCCAGGUAAAGUGACGUGGAUCAGUGGAUACACUUGUCUCCGCUUUAAAGGAGACACUCUUAGAGAGAGACGAUCCGAGUCAUCCUUAAAUAUGGGCAGGAUAUCAGUCUUGGACUGUCUAACCUGCCGGAGCAGCACUGAAUGAUCACCACACAUGAGCAUGUUCCUGCAACAUUCAGCAUCUGAUCUGCCAUCUGUGUGCUUCUGCUUUUGUGUCAAAUGUCAAACAGCUGGAGAGGAAACUACACCAGUGUACUGGGAUGUUUCACCAACACGUGCCAGACGCUGUUCCUUCAUGGUGACAUCACCAGAGACAGUCCCGCCCACCUCAGGACCUCUCCAUUGAUCAUGAUGAUUAUAAUAAUGACAGCGAGCGGAACUAAGACUGUAAAAAUCCACGACCAGAAUGUUUAGAUGCUUUCUAAUUAUUAAUGAAUACUGAGAGUCUCUUUCUGUGUUUUGUCUGGGUUUUUUUUGUUUUUUUUUUACCUCAUUUGUUACUAACAAAGUUCACCAAACUCACACAGUUUACAUUCUGUAUGCUUCCAUCUUUACCAGCCACACUCUUAACUGCAAUUAAGAAAAUAAUCCUUAGAAAUCUUCGUUUUUCUCUUUUGUAAUUGAUGAUAAUUCAGUGAAUAUACUGCGCUGCUUCCUUUUGUUUCAUCACACAUUGCUUUAAGUUUUUCAGUGUUCAG